UCGCGGCUUAUCACCGGCAGUCCCCCUAGAGUUCCCAACUGAAUGUAGCAACUAAUGGCAAGGGUUGCGCUCGUUGCGGGACUUAACCCAACAUCUCACGACACGAGCCGACGACAGCCAUGCAGCACCUGUGUUACGGCUCUCUUUCGAGCACCCUCACAUCUCUAUGAGGUUCCGUACAUGUCAAGGGUAGGUAAGGUUUUUCGCGUUGCGUCGAAUUAAACCACAUGCUCCACCGCUUGUGCGGGCCCCCGUCAAUUCCUUUGAGUUUUAAUCUUGCGACCGUACUCCCCAGGCGGGAUGCUUAAUGCGUUAGCUGCGCCACUGACAGGCAAGCCUGCCAACGGCUAGCAUCCAUCGUUUACGGCGUGGACUAC
Molecule: unclassified non-coding RNA, 377 nt
Filed under: uncultured Pseudomonadota bacterium
Lineage: Bacteria; Pseudomonadati; Pseudomonadota
Description: uncultured proteobacterium contains 16S-23S intergenic spacer region
Source: RNAcentral